GUUGUGAUUGGAAUAUGAAUCAGAAAGAAGAUUAUUCACGUCUUAAAGAUGUUCAAGGAAUUAUUUCGAAAGUGAAUUAACAUCGAUCAAGUAGAUCGAGGCACUGAACAUGUAUUUUAUUUCAACCAAGUACCAUAACAAAUUAUGCUUCAAUAUCAAAAAGAUCGAUUUGGAAUCGAAUAUCGUCAACACCGACGUACAAGAAAUUACUAUUCUUAGAGGGAACCUAAAGCUAAACAAAGUAAUUCGCAGAAAUUUUAUUUUCAAGUCACGUACCUGGCCGUAUAUUCCCGAGGGAAAAUUUAUGAAAAAAAUCACAUGACAAAAUACAAUGAAUAUGAAAUGCAUGACGACUAGAGACUAGAACAACUCUUUGAAGAAGAACUCGAUUUUAAAAGAAUUAUUAAAAAGUUACCAAAUCG
Molecule: long non-coding RNA, 422 nt
Organism: Planococcus citri (citrus mealybug)
Lineage: Eukaryota; Metazoa; Arthropoda; Insecta; Hemiptera; Pseudococcidae
Exons: 2
Source: RefSeq, a predicted model, not a curated record